Lonchura striata (white-rumped munia) is the source of this 162-nucleotide unclassified non-coding RNA. The record is from Ensembl. Lineage: Eukaryota; Metazoa; Chordata; Aves; Passeriformes; Estrildidae.
AUAAAAGGAACACUGUAGUUCACUUGGAAGAUGCCUGGUUGAUAAUCCUGGGAAUUUAAAUCCUUUGUCUACAUCCCUGACAUGUGCCUCAAUCCUGGCCUCAAGGGACCACCUUGGGAGGUGAAUGAGUUGCAGCUUGUGCCCAUUUAAACAUCAGUGGGA